AUGCUGACUUGCUGCCUCUGUCCGAUGAGGAAAAGGAGGCCAUAGAUUGCAUCAAAGCCGACGGCAUCAGCAAUGAAAUGGUAAGAGCAGCCAUCUCCAUCUUGGCUGUUCCUGCACCUCCAGACAGUCCCUCUGGCUCUGCCUUCAGGCUGCAUGAGGGCUGCUGGCCGGGCAGAGCUGCUGCUGUCCUGCAGCUGUCCUGUGCUGCUCCACACCCCGCAACGCCUGGUCCCCCUGGCCAUGGUUGUCCCCACUCACACUCCUCGGUCUCUGUGUGCUUGCCAGGAUCUGGUGCAGAAGCUGCAGUACCUGAACUGUAUUUGCUCACUGUGCAGCGCUGCUGAACAGAAGGGCUUGACAGUGUACCUGGAUAUCUUCUGCUUCCUAAACAAUGUGACAGAGAACAUUGAGGUUCUGUUGUGUGAGGAGCCCAUGGAGCAGCUGAGCACCGGCCUGAGAUACUGCUGCAUGAACACCAUUGCUGCCUUGAGCACAGUGAAUGCAGUUACGGAGGAAGAAAUACUCCAUCUCUUCAAGGUGUGCUGCAGCGUCGUCUUCUAUCUUCCUCCAGCCAGGGCCUUGAACAUUUCCCUCUACAACCAGACCCUGGAAGCUAUGGACGACAUGCUGCAGACUGUGCUAGAUGUCUGUCCCAUUGCCAGUGUCAAGAGUCGGCUGCAGGGAAUCUUGGAGGUGCUGCUGCCUUUCAGCAUCUCCAAGACACAGGCUGUGUGUGAGAGGGCUUUGGGGCGCAUCUGGAAGCUUAGUGGCUUCAUGACCAGCAGUUUCUGGCAGCAGCCCCUUGGAAAAAACCUUGCCCCUUCUCAGAGGACAGACAUUGCCCUUGUAACCCUGGAGAAGAUCAUUGGGGACUACGGUUUUGAUGAGAAGAAGUGGGCUGAGACUAUGCUGGAUGUGCUUCGGAGAACCCUGGCACCUGGCUGA
This 945-nucleotide long non-coding RNA is filed under the name Coturnix japonica (Japanese quail). RNAcentral describes it as "lncRNA (ENSCJPG00005003641.1)". The record is from RNAcentral. Lineage: Eukaryota; Metazoa; Chordata; Aves; Galliformes; Phasianidae.